Molecule: long non-coding RNA, 3149 nt
Filed under: Salvia miltiorrhiza (redroot sage)
Lineage: Eukaryota; Viridiplantae; Streptophyta; Magnoliopsida; Lamiales; Lamiaceae
Description: long non-coding RNA (SMIL_LNC004774)
Source: RNAcentral
UGGCAUCACGCUAUUUGAUUUAAAAGCGAAAUGUAGCUUUAUUAUCAAGGAACUAAAAUAAAUAAAAGCGGCGAGACUCGGACAGGAAGGGCGAAAAUCUAACCCGAGAUCCGGCGAGUGGCGGUUCGUCGGAUUUCCUCCACUGCGCAGAUCUACGGCUUUUUGGGCGAUACGCCGCCGCAGAGAUGAUGAAGGCCUCUUCUACUCUCAUCGUGUCGCUCUUCGCCGCUUCGUCCCUCGCCCUCUCCUCCUCCGCUUCCGCUGCCGCUCCAGCCCCUGCCAUUACUUCCACCCCAAGCGCCGACCGGGUAUUUAUUCUUAAUCUAAAUAUAGGGCGAUUACUUUCGUUAAUUGAUAAAUUUUGUUUUCGCGCACGAAGAAAAUCGCAAUGUUUUCCGUAUAUUUAGUUGCAGAUUGUGUUUUUUUUUCGGCCUUCACCUAGCGUAAUUUCGAGUCUGUGUUUAUUAUGAAUAGUUUUGGUGAGUGCGGACAGCAGAUCUCUAUGUAGCUUAAUUGUUACGCAGAAUGCUCUAAGUGUCCCUAUUUUUUUUAUUGUUCUGCGAGAAUACCAAUACGACAGUACUUUUUAUUGGUAAUUUGAUCCCCAAAAUCUUUCAUAUCCUAGCAUGAAAAUGAGAUGCCAUAGCAUGUUGGUCAUUUUAAUCUAAUUGUGUUGUUGAUUGUGGUUGUUUUCGUCUUUGAAGGUAAAAUCAAUGGAUAAGGGAAGCUUUGCUCCAAAAUUCGACGGUUUGAGGUUCAUUGAGACCCUGGUGACGGCCCACAGGUGAAUUUGUUGGACAAAAAGUUAUGGUGAGAAUGUUGUGAUGCCGUUGAGCAUGUCAAGUAUCGAUCUAUACAGAUUGUAGUGAUUUCCAAUUAAUUGAUUUACUCGUGGAUGGUAGUUUUCCAAGAUAUCCCCGUGAGUUUGUGCUAAUGUAACUUCACUUCUCAUUUUUAAUCAUACUUGUCAUUUCUUUAACUACAAUCAUGCCUUUCGUUACAAUACGAGUAUUAUUUAAUCACGGGAUUGUUUAGGGACGAAUAUUAAAAUAACUAUAUUGCUUAACCAUCUAUAUCUAUAUGUUACUAUGAAACACCAAUUUCAGUGCAUGCCUUUACAUGUCUCUUUUUUUUUUUUUUUCAAAUAAAGAAGGAAAAAAAAGGUGAACUUCUCUUUUGUGUAAAACGUGAGAAAAGAUAUGACAUUUAAAGACAUAAAUUUUUAUUAUCUACUCCCUCCGUCCGCUAAUUGUUGUCCUAGGGGAUUUACACUUCCCCUAGGACAACAAUUAGUGGACGGAUGGAGUAUUAUUUUUCAUGGAUAAAUUUAUUCAUAAAAGUAAACGUAGCCUUAUAGACCCAAAUUGAACCUGCCAAAUUCAUUUGGACCGACGGGUUUGGUUCGGACCGGACCGGACCGACCCAGUAUAUAUGUACGAUCCGGUCCGGGUCAAAUUUGUAGGACCGAAUUUUUGUUGGGUUGGUUCGGGUCGAAACUCAGUUGAACCUGUAGAAUCCAACACUUUAAACCCCAAACUAUUUUCGCACUAUCAAUUAUAUACUGAACUAUUAAAAAUAAUUUUUUAAACCUUGAACUAUUAAUUUUAUAUCAAUUGUACCCUUUAUCCAUUUUUCAUCCUUUGAAUUUUUAAUGAGUAAUGCAUAUAAUCAUGUCGUUUUAUAUAAUAUAGGUAAAAAAAAUGAUUCAAAAUAUAUUGUGACACCUGGUGAGCUACGUCAAAUUUUUUAAGCUAAAAAAAUUAACGAAUGAUACAAUUGAUACAAAAUUGAUAGUUCAAGGUUUAAAAAAUUAUUUUCGAUAGUUUAGGAUAUAAUUGAUAGUGCGAAAAUAGUUUGGGGUUUAAAGUGAUAUUUAUCCAAUAAAUUAAUUAUUUAAUUUUUAUAUUUAAUAUUUAUAAUUAAUAUCAAUAAANUUAUUUUCGAUAGUUUAGGAUAUAAUUGAUAGUGCGAAAAUAGUUUGGGGUUUAAAGUGAUAUUUAUCCAAUAAAUUAAUUAUUUAAUUUUUAUAUUUAAUAUUUAUAAUAAUAUCAAUAAACUUUAAAUUCAAUUUUCUAACCCUAAGCCAAGUCUGGAACAUGGAAUCUGAUAAAUGAUAAUAACUCAUCAUCAUAUAUAUGUGACAUAAAUUGUGAGUUCUGAAUUUCAGACGCCUGUUAUAUUAUCGUAUUGCGGGAUUGCUAAGAAUUCCUUUUGCCGUGGAAUCAUGAAUCUGGGAAAUAUGUUAGAGACCAUGUGAUAGAUUUUGUUCGUGGAUUAUGUAAAAUGAGGUGGUAGCUCUGAUUAUAAACAUUGUUUUCUGUAAGAUUUUUUUUAGUAAUGCAAUGCAAUCAGUGCAAAUAGUGUCUAAUAUUAUAAAAAAUUAUUUCGUCAUCAUUUGCCAGAAGACUAUGAAAAUAUGAAUUGUUGGUAAAAUGAAGCAGCAAAUUACUAGAUCUGUAAAUCUUUGUCAUCAUUUGCCAGAAAAAUUAAUAUCAGGAAUUUUCUUAUAUCCGUUGAUAACAGAAUGAAUAUGCCUAACAAAAUAUGAAAUCUGAAAUUAAUAGGCGUUUCAGAAUCUUGAGGCUUAAUAUGAUUAUGGCGGCUCGGACCUGGACCGGUCGGUCCACACUCAGGAAUCGGUUCGGGUCGGUCCAACAUUUCAAAAAUUUCGGUCUAACAAACUCGUCCGGGUCGGUCUGGGUUCGACCUGCUGUUCACCCCUAAUUGCUUUAAUAUAAUAAAUCUGUAUUAUUAGGAACCAUGAUAUCUUUAUUUUAUGUUGCUUGUUUUAGUUUAGACCUUUGGCACAUGGCUUUGCACCUAAAUUUGGCUGUGGAAGGUGCCGAAAAUUGGAUUUGCUUGUGUCUUUCAACUGCUCGAAGAAAUGCCUGUGUAAGAAAAUUCUGGUAGCAACCCUUGAGUAAGUUUGGCUGCGGUAGGUGGAGAAAAUUGGAUUUGAUUAUGUCUUUCAACAGUUGGAAGAAAUACCAGUAUUUGGAUAUGUUUGUUAUGUUGAAUUCACUACAUAUUUUCAAAUUGAUGCUCAAUCGAUGCACCUUAUGCAUUUUCUUUUAGUUUGAGAGACUUUCUUUGUAAAUUUGUAUUGAUUUACAUUAGACAGUUGAGAAACAAUGUAUGAUGAAUUUGGA